GCCUGGGUGGCUCAGUCGGUUAAGUGUCUGACUUCGGCUCAGGUCAUGAUCUCACGGUUCAUGGGUUCGAGCCCCGUGUCGGGCU
RNAcentral lists this transfer RNA (85 nucleotides) under Crocuta crocuta (spotted hyena). It matches the Rfam family "tRNA". Rfam says of the family: Transfer RNA (tRNA) molecules are approximately 80 nucleotides in length. The record is from Rfam by way of RNAcentral. RNAcentral also lists the same sequence under 1 other name. Lineage: Eukaryota; Metazoa; Chordata; Mammalia; Carnivora; Hyaenidae.